GAUGAAGAACGUAGCGAAAUGCGAUAAGUAAUGCGAAUUGCAGAAUUCAGUGAGUCAUCGAAUCUUUGAACGCACAUUGCGCCCUGUGGUAUUCCGCAGGGCAUGCCUGUUCGAGCGUCAUUUCAACCCUCAAGCCCCGCUUGGUGUUGGGCCCCGCCCGCUGUGGCCGGCCCUAAAGACAGUGGCGGCGCCGCCUGGCCCUCAGCGUAGUACAUCUCUCGCUCCAGGGUCCGGUGGCCGCCUGCCAGAACCCCCCAACUCUGUGGUUGACCUCGGAUCAGGUAGGGAUACCCGCUGAACUUAAGCAUAUCAAUAAGCGGAGGA
Molecule: unclassified non-coding RNA, 324 nt
Filed under: soil metagenome
Description: partial contains 5.8S ribosomal RNA, internal transcribed spacer 2, and large subunit ribosomal RNA
Rfam family: 5.8S ribosomal RNA (bases 1-120)
Source: RNAcentral